This 68-nucleotide transfer RNA is filed under the name Scomber japonicus (chub mackerel). RNAcentral's name for it is "tRNA-Ser". Lineage: Eukaryota; Metazoa; Chordata; Actinopteri; Scombriformes; Scombridae. The record is from RNAcentral.
GAGAGAGUCUCGCUAGAAACGAAAACUGCUAAUUUUCGCAACCCUGGUUGGACCCCAGGGCUCACUCG